Molecule: unclassified non-coding RNA, 218 nt
Filed under: uncultured Chaetothyriales
Lineage: Eukaryota; Fungi; Ascomycota; Eurotiomycetes; Chaetothyriales
Description: sequence contains ITS1
Source: RNAcentral
CCGAGUUAGGGUCCCCUCGUGGGGCCCGACCUCCCAACCCCGUGUCUAAUAAACUUGUACGUGUUGCUUCGGCGGACCGGCAGUCGCAAGACCGCCGCCGGGGAGGGUUCGCCCCCCUGGAGAGCGUCCGUCGAUGGCCCAACCAAAACAAACUAUCAAAACCAAAACUAUUGAAACCCCCUUCUGAAUCAAACCUUUUGAUAUACCAAUCAAAAACA